CCUACGGGUGGCAGCAGUGAGGAAUAUUGGUCAAUGGACGAGAUUCUGAACCAGCCAAGUAGCGUGAAGGAUGACUGCCCUAUGGGUUGUAAACUUCUUUUAUAUGGGAAUAAAAUGUUCCACGUGUGGGAUUUUGUAUGUACCAUAUGAAUAAGGAUCGGCUAACUCCGUGCCAGCAGCCGCGGUAAUACGGAGGAUCCGAGCGUUAUCCGGAUUUAUUGGGUUUAAAGGGUGCGUAGGUGGAUUGUUAAGUCAGUUGUGAAAGUUUGCGGCUCAACCGUAAAAUUGCAGUUGAAACUGGCAGUCUUGAGUACAGUAGAGGUGUGCGGAAUGCGUGGUGUAGCGGUGAAAUGCUUAGAUAUCACGAAGAACUCCGAUUGCGAAGGCAGUUCACUGGACUGAAACUGACACUGAGGCUCGAAAGUGUGGGUAUCAAACAGGAUUAGAUACCCUUGUAGUC
RNAcentral lists this ribosomal RNA (460 nucleotides) under uncultured bacterium. Its description in RNAcentral is "partial 16S ribosomal RNA". It matches the Rfam family "Bacterial small subunit ribosomal RNA", at positions 338 to 795 of the family's 1533-position model. The record is from RNAcentral.